UGGGGAAUCUUGCUCAAUGGGCGAAAGCCUGAAGCAGCGACGCCGUGUGAGUGACGAAGUCUUUCGGGAUGUAAAACUCUGUCAGUGGGGAAGAUAAUGACGGUACCCACAAAGGAAGCACCGGCAAACUACGUGCCAGCAGCCGCGGUAAUACGUAGGGUGCAAGCGUUGUCCGGAUUUAUUGGGCGUAAAGCGCGUGUAGGUGGUAGGUUAAGUCAGGUGUGAAAUGCUACAGCUCAACUGUAGUCUGCACUUGAAACUGGCCUGCUAGAGGAUAUGAGAGGAAAGUGGAACUCACGGUGUAGCGGUGAAAUGCGUAGAUAUCGUGAGGAACACCAGUGGCGAAGGCGACUUUCUGGCAUAUUUCUGACACUGAGACGCGAAAGCGUGGGGAGCAAACAGG
RNAcentral lists this ribosomal RNA (403 nucleotides) under uncultured bacterium. RNAcentral describes it as "bacterial SSU rRNA". It matches the Rfam family "Bacterial small subunit ribosomal RNA", at positions 355 to 776 of the family's 1533-position model. The record is from RNAcentral.